RNAcentral lists this ribosomal RNA (436 nucleotides) under uncultured bacterium. Its description in RNAcentral is "bacterial SSU rRNA". It matches the Rfam family "Bacterial small subunit ribosomal RNA", at positions 354 to 796 of the family's 1533-position model. The record is from RNAcentral.
GUGAGGAAUAUUGCGCAAUGGGCGAAAGCCUGACGCAGCGACGCCGCGUGGACGAUGAAGGCCUUCGGGUUGUAAAGUCCUGUCAGGAGGGACGAAGCGGACUUGUCCGUGACGGUACCUCGGUAGGAAGCUCCGGCUAACUACGUGCCAGCAGCCGCGGUAAGACGUAGGGGGCUAGCGUUGUCCGGAAUCACUGGGCGUAAAGAGCUCGUAGGCGGUCUGUUUAGUCGGGUGUGAAAGCCCUCGGCUCAACCGAGGAAUUGCAUUCGAUACUGGCAGGCUAGAGUCUAGCAGAGGGAAGUGGAAUUCCCGGUGUAGCGGUGAAAUGCGCAGAUAUCGGGAAGAACACCGGUGGCGAAGGCGGCUUCCUGGGCUAUGACUGACGCUGAGGAGCGAAAGCUAGGGGAGCGAACAGGAUUAGAUACCCGGGUAGUCC